GACGAACGCUGGCGGCGUGCUUAACACAUGCAAGUCGAACGGAAAGGCCCUGCUUUUGUGGGGUGCUCGAGUGGCGAACGGGUGAGUAACACGUGAGUAACCUGCCCUUGACUUUGGGAUAACUUCAGGAAACUGGGGCUAAUACCGGAUAGGAGCUCCUGCGGCAGGGUGGGGGUUGGAAAGUUUCGGCGGUUGGGGAUGGACUCGGGGCUUAUCAGCUUGUUGGUGGGGUAGUGGCUUACCAAGGCUUUGACGGGUAGCCGGCCUGAGAGGGUGACCGGCCACAUUGGGACUGAGAUACGGCCCAGACUCCUACGGGAGGCAGCAGUGGGGAAUAUUGCACAAUGGGCGGAAGCCUGAUGCAGCAACGCCGCGUGCGGGAUGACGGCCUUCGGGUUGUAAACCGCUUUCGCCUGUGACGAAGCGUGAGUGACGGUAAUGGGUAAAGAAGCACCGGCUAACUACGUG
Molecule: ribosomal RNA, 468 nt
Filed under: uncultured bacterium
Lineage: Bacteria
Description: partial 16S ribosomal RNA
Rfam family: Bacterial small subunit ribosomal RNA
Source: RNAcentral